GUCUCUCUUUUGGUCUCGAAGUCGAGGUUCUCACCGUCGUCCUAUCAUGGUCAUGCUACCGCCAUGGAUUCACAGUCGUGUUCUGUUAGUCGAUUGAGUACCGGCGUACCCUAAUUGAACGCAAAACCGGUGUCUUAUUGAAUUCUCUCUACUGCCGUCAGAGAAAUUUGGAUACGUUACAGCAAGUCGGUUGAAUUCACGCCAUCAUUAACAACAACUUUCAACUUUCCCAUUACUUCCAUUGCGUGAAUCUUCAAGUAUAAAUACGUAACUCUUUCAUCAGUUCAAUCCAAUCCUCUCGGAAGCAUGCUAUCUAGAUCAGCUCUAUAUCCACAAAGAAGCCGCACAGCUUACUUCGUAGUCACCAACUCCCACCUACUCAGCCACCCACAGUUUGAUUUCUCUUCAGCUCUGCGGUUAAAUUUACCAAAUGUUAUAUGACAAGCGGAUAGCACGGUUUCUCAGCUUGAAGCUAUUUCAGAGCAACUUGCUUCAGCAAAGCAUAUGGGGGUUCUUCAGGUGUCUCUACCUGCAAAUGUCCAAACUGAAAUCGAGCAGAUUGGAGAGAUACUGAGUUCUUCUAUAGCUGCCAUCACUAAUAGCUCCAAUGACAUAAGAGACAUUCUCAAUUCCGUAAGGGUGGCGCUUAUCACAGUUUCAAUCCUUAUGCUUAUCUCUUUACAAUUCUUGGUCUCGGUAAGUCACAAAUCUGCAUCUUUUGUAUUGUUUUACAGUUUUGAAAGAUGAGCUUCUCUAUAUCUCCUGCAAUCUUCCACUACAUGUUUCUCAACUGUAUGUAUAACUCAUGAUCUUAUCAUCUACUCUUGCAAUUUCUUCAAUUUUUCGGAUACAUCUCAUUGUCUACACGAACAAUGACCCUGGAAUGUUCUUUGUGUACUUUUAUAAGUAAGAACUAUUUGAAUCUUUUCCUCUUCCGCAGCCGUAUGAUUCUUGGAUGGAUUUUGGUGACUGAUGAUUCUGGUACAUUCAUCUGGUAAAUUUUAAUGUGUUUGUUUGAGCUUUAGUGAAACUGCAGGCAGAUGUAUAGCAAUGAGUGCAUCAGUAGAAAGGCCCGUAAGCAACAUGCCUCUAGACGAGAUCUUACCUUGCACAGACAAUGUUAUAGCUGAGAAAAUAACUGAAGUGCUUAUAAAUUUGGAGACAUGACCAUGCAUCCUCUGCACACUUGACCUGCAAGCAAGCCGUUUAAAAUAUGUUAACAAAGCACUUCUUCUCUAAUUCAAAUUGUGCUUACAAAAAAAUUCACCAGUAUUAUAUACAGUAAAUCAGUUUAGUGGGAUACAAAUAAAAUUCCACCAGUUUCAGAUU
This is a long non-coding RNA of Brassica oleracea var. oleracea, 1329 nucleotides long. RefSeq lists it as uncharacterized. The record is from RefSeq and is a predicted model, not a curated record. The transcript is spliced from 3 exons. Lineage: Eukaryota; Viridiplantae; Streptophyta; Magnoliopsida; Brassicales; Brassicaceae.